Molecule: ribosomal RNA, 468 nt
Filed under: uncultured bacterium
Lineage: Bacteria
Description: partial 16S ribosomal RNA
Rfam family: Bacterial small subunit ribosomal RNA
Source: RNAcentral
GACGAACGCUGGCGGCGUGCUUAACACAUGCAAGUCGAACGGAAAGGCCCUGCUUUUGUGGUGUGCUCGAGUGGCGAACGUGUGAGUAACACGUGAGUAACCUGCCCUUUACUUUGGGAUAACUUCAGGAAACUGGGGCUAAUACCGUAUAGGAGCUCCUGCUGCAUGGGGUGGGUUGGAAAGUUUCGGCGGUUGGGUAUGGACUCGCGGCUUAUCAGCUUGUUGGUGGGGUAGUGGCUUACCAAGGCUUUGACGGGUAGCCGGCCUGAGAGGGUGACCGGCCACAUUGGGACUGAGAUACGGCCCAGACUCCUACGGGAGGCAGCAGUGGGGAAUAUUGCACAAUGGGCGGAAGCCUGAUGCAGCAACGCCGCGUGCGGGAUGACGGCCUUCGGGUUGUAAACCGCUUUCGCCUGUGACGAAGCGUGAGUGACGGUACCGGGUAAAGAAGCACCGGCUAACUACGUG